GGGAUUUUGAACUUAAUUAGAUAACCCUGAAAGUUUAAAGCUAAAAUGAGCUAAACUCCGAUGCCACAUUUCAACAGAUGGUUGAGUACUGAACAGUAGCUCCAAGGGUAUCCUGAGAUUGGCCCGUUGAGAUAAGCGGUGCCGCAGUGGGAUUAGUUUUCUAUGGAAUAUUUCUCCCAAUACAAGGCUGACAGCUAACAAGAGGUUGCGAUAUGGGCUGGCCAAGCUGCUAAAAUCCAUUUGUCCUUUGCUUCUGCUGCAGAUUGGCCCACUAGCGACAGAUGGUUCCGAGGGCAGGGUGAGCCAUCUCUUACAUUGGCCAACCCCACCCUUCCCCCUCCACUUCCAAACAACUGCGCUCUUCUCUUCGCUUCAAGGGACCACAGACCAGACCCAGUUGAACAAAUUGACAAUGGAAGAAGAAGCAAAGCCCAAACAAGUUCGAGUGGCUUCUCAGAAUAAAAUCUCG
Molecule: unclassified non-coding RNA, 469 nt
Filed under: Hevea brasiliensis (rubber tree)
Lineage: Eukaryota; Viridiplantae; Streptophyta; Magnoliopsida; Malpighiales; Euphorbiaceae
Source: RNAcentral